GGUUGUAUAGCUCAGUGUGGUAAAGCACGUGCUUAGCAUGCAGGAGGUCUUGGGUUCAAUCCCCAGUACUUCAA
RNAcentral lists this transfer RNA (74 nucleotides) under Camelus bactrianus (Bactrian camel). It matches the Rfam family "tRNA". Rfam says of the family: Transfer RNA (tRNA) molecules are approximately 80 nucleotides in length. Their secondary structure includes four short double-helical elements and three loops (D, anti-codon, and T loops). RNAcentral also lists the same sequence under 2 other names. Lineage: Eukaryota; Metazoa; Chordata; Mammalia; Artiodactyla; Camelidae. The record is from Rfam by way of RNAcentral.